UUUAUAUAGAAUAAAUUUCUAAAAUUAGGAAUAUGAUUUAGAUAUAUUCAAAUUAUAAAAAAGAUGCAUAAAUAAUGAGUAUUUUAGAUUAGAAUUAUAUUUUGAAUAUUAUAGAUAUAGUCUAUUAUAUUUUGAAUAUUAUAAUUAAAUAUAGUCUAUUUCUUGUAAUUUUGGAAGAGAGUUAUGAUAGAAUAAAAUUUGAGUUUGUAUUUUG
Molecule: long non-coding RNA, 214 nt
Filed under: Ananas comosus (pineapple)
Lineage: Eukaryota; Viridiplantae; Streptophyta; Magnoliopsida; Poales; Bromeliaceae
Description: long non-coding RNA (ACOM_LNC034657)
Source: RNAcentral